Molecule: ribosomal RNA, 468 nt
Filed under: uncultured bacterium
Lineage: Bacteria
Description: partial 16S ribosomal RNA
Rfam family: Bacterial small subunit ribosomal RNA
Source: RNAcentral
GACGAACGCUGGCGGCGUGCUUAACACAUGCAAGUCGAACGGAAAGGCCCUGCUUUUGUGGGUUGCUCGAGUGGCGAACGGGUGAGUAACACGUGAGUAACCUGCCCUUGACUUUGGGAUAACUUCAGGAAACUGGGGCUAAUACCGGAUAGGAGCUCCUGCUGCAUGGUGGGGGUUGGAAAGUUUCGGCGGUUGGGGAUGGACUCGCGGCUUAUCAGCUUGUUGGUGGGGUAGUGGCUUACCAAGGCUUUGACGGGUAGCCGGCCAGAGAGGGUGACCGGCCACAUUGGGACUGAGAUACGGCCCAGACUCCUACGGGAGGCAGCAGUGGGGAAUAUUGCACAAUGGGCGGAAGCCUGAUGCAGCAACGCCGCGUGCGGGAUGACGGCCUUCGGGUUGUAAACCGCUUUCGCCUGUGACGAAGCGUGAGUGACGGUAAUGGGUAAAGAAGCACCGGCUAAAUACGUG